AUAAAAUAACAUUCUUAAUU
This 20-nucleotide unclassified non-coding RNA is filed under the name Saccharomyces cerevisiae (brewer's yeast). RNAcentral's name for it is "RNA (5'-R(*AP*UP*AP*AP*AP*AP*UP*AP*AP*CP*AP*UP*UP*CP*UP*U)-3') from Saccharomyces cerevisiae (PDB 7A9W, chain B)". Lineage: Eukaryota; Fungi; Ascomycota; Saccharomycetes; Saccharomycetales; Saccharomycetaceae. The record is from RNAcentral.